UGCCACACCUUUAAUAUCUUACUGAGAAGAUUUUUUUUUCCUUUCUUGAUCAAAUGAAAAUGGUGUAACUAUGUGCAAAAUAUAAAUGAAGUAACUGAAUGUAGUGUAAUUAAAAAUAAAACAAAAGUCAGAGGUAUGGUAAUGAGUUAAUGAAUGCAUCUAAUCGCAAACGUCAAUUCAGGAAAAAAAGAAACAUGGAUCUGUCUUCAUUUAUAUGCAAAAUAUAAUUCUGACCUAGAGGUUUGCAUGCCACAAUGUACUGCUAUGUGGAACAAAGCAGGGCUAUAACACCCAAGACAUCUGGAAUCUGGACCAAGUAUACCAUCAUACAGCAAUUCAGAGAAUUAAGUUAUCAUACAGGUACUAUGGCAACAUGACUUUCCUCUUAGACAGAGGCAGAAGUGGCAAGUUGUCCCAUGAUGCUAUCUGGGAGCAGGUGGUGGACAAUGAUAAUGAGGCCAGAUGACACGGCUUUGCUUAUCAAAAAAUCAGACAUUCAGCCAGUGAUAUGAUAAAUGCAAAACAUAGGUCAGCUGCAAUUGCCCAGGAAUUAAUGGGUACUGUGUGUGCUCCUGUUACUGAACAACCAUUGACUGAUACAGAAGAGUUCCUGUACACUGUCAGAGAUACAGACAUCUCAGCACAGGGUUCACACAGAAUCAUUGAUGUCAGUGCUAACAUGCCGGACAAUCCAACUGUAUCUGCUUCUGAUUUUGCACAACCACCUGCACAUGGUAAG
Molecule: long non-coding RNA, 739 nt
Organism: Protopterus annectens (West African lungfish)
Lineage: Eukaryota; Metazoa; Chordata; Ceratodontiformes; Protopteridae
Exons: 3
Source: RefSeq, a predicted model, not a curated record